GGCUCACCUAGGCGACGAUCCCUAGCUGGUCUGAGAGGAUGACCAGCCACACUGGAACUGAGACACGGUCCAGACUCCUACGGGAGGCAGCAGUGGGGAAUAUUGCACAAUGGGCGCAAGCCUGAUGCAGCCAUGCCGCGUGUGUGAAGAAGGCCUUCGGGUUGUAAAGCACUUUCAGCGGGGAGGAAGGCGAUAAGGUUAAUAACCUUGGCGAUUGACGUUACCCGCAGAAGAAGCACCGGCUAACUCCGUGCCAGCAGCCGCGGUAAUACGGAGGGUGCAAGCGUUAAUCGGAAUUACUGGGCGUAAAGCGCACGCAGGCGGUCUGUCAAGUCGGAUGUGAAAUCCCCGGGCUCAACCUGGGAACUGCAUUCGAAACUGGCAGGCUAGAGUCUUGUAGAGGGGGGUGGAAUUCCAGGUGUAGCGGUGAAAUGCGUAGAGAUCUGGAGGAAUACCGGUGGCGAAGGCGGCCCCCUGGACAAAGACUGACGCUCAGGUGCGAAAGCGUGGGGAGCAAACAGGAUUAGAUACCCUGGUAGUCCACGCCGUAAACGAUGUCGAUUUGGAGGUUGUGCCCUUGAGGCGUGGCUUCCGGAGCUAACGCGUUAAAUCGACCGCCUGGGGAGUACGGCCGCAAGGUUAAAACUCAAAUGAAUUGACGGGGGCCCGCACAAGCGGUGGAGCAUGUGGUUUAAUUCGAUGCAACGCGAAGAACCUUACCUGGUCUUGACAUCCACAGAACUUUCCAGAGAUGGAUUGGUGCCUUCGGGAACUGUGAGACAGGUGCUGCAUGGCUGUCGUCAGCUCGUGUUGUGAAAUGUUGGGUUAAGUCCCGCAACGAGCGCAACCC
Molecule: ribosomal RNA, 850 nt
Filed under: Klebsiella pneumoniae
Lineage: Bacteria; Pseudomonadati; Pseudomonadota; Gammaproteobacteria; Enterobacterales; Enterobacteriaceae
Description: bacterial SSU rRNA
Rfam family: Bacterial small subunit ribosomal RNA
Source: RNAcentral